GAUGAACGCUGGCGGCGUGCUUAACACAUGCAAGUCGAACGAUGAAGCCCAGCUUGCUGGGUGGAUUAGUGGCGAACGGGUGAGUAACACGUGAGUAACCUGCCCUUGACUCUGGGAUAAGCCUGGGAAACUGGGUCUAAUACUGGAUAUGACUUCUCAUCGCAUGGUGGGGGGUGGACAGCUUUAUUGGUCUUGGAUGGACUCGCGGCCUAUCAGCUUGUUGGUGAGGUAAUGGCUCACCAAGGCGACGACGGGUAGCCGGCCUGAGAGGGUGACCGGCCACACUGGGACUGAGACACGGCCCAGACUCCUACGGGAGGCAGCAGUGGGGAAUAUUGCACAAUGAGCGCAAGCCUGAUGCAGCGACGCCGCGUGAGGGAUGACGGCCUUCGGGUUGUAAACCUCUUUCAGUAGGGAAGAAGCGAGAGUGACGGUACCUGCAGAAGAAGCGCCGGCUAACUACGUG
RNAcentral lists this ribosomal RNA (466 nucleotides) under uncultured bacterium. RNAcentral describes it as "partial 16S ribosomal RNA". It matches the Rfam family "Bacterial small subunit ribosomal RNA", at positions 28 to 507 of the family's 1533-position model. The record is from RNAcentral.